Molecule: unclassified non-coding RNA, 497 nt
Filed under: Hevea brasiliensis (rubber tree)
Lineage: Eukaryota; Viridiplantae; Streptophyta; Magnoliopsida; Malpighiales; Euphorbiaceae
Source: RNAcentral
UUUUUUUUUUCUUUCUACGUUAAGAAAAAAAAUGGUAUCCAGUUCAGAAAUUUGCCUUAUCCUUGGCAAAUUUCACCAAAAACUUCAAAAUUGAGUACUUGGUAUCAUCUUCAACCUUCUCUUUCUCUCUAUCCUUGGUUUCAAAGACGCCCUUCAUUAUGCGUGUGUAGAGCCUCUCAAGCUGUGGAAUGCCAUAAUUUUCUGUGCGCUCCACAAAUAGCUUCUUCACAUACUCGAUUUGGCUUGAUAUUUUGGCAUCCAACAUAGUAGCAUCUUGGGAUCCACUCGCUUCAGCAUGAGCAGAAGCUUCUCUGGAAGUUUCCAGCCUAUUGGCAUCAGCAGAUGGGGAUUCUGGCUUUUCAAGAUCAAUUUCAUUUGCCCCUGGCUCUUCUGAUGGCUUUGCUUGUACUGUAUCUUGAUGCUGCGAUUUAUCUUCUGCCACUGAAGCUGCAAUUGCAACAUCAACGCUUUUCUUCUGCCUUUUCAAAGCCUCAUAG